GACGAACGCUGGCGGCGUGCCUAAUACAUGCAAGUAGAACGCUGAAGGAGGAGCUUGCUUCUCUGGAUGAGUUGCGAACGGGUGAGUAACGCGUAGGUAACCUGCCUGGUAGCGGGGGAUAACUAUUGGAAACGAUAGCUAAUACCGCAUAACAGUAGAUGUUGCAUGACAUUUGCUUAAAAGGUGCAAUUGCAUCACUACCAGAUGGACCUGCGUUGUAUUAGCUAGUUGGUGGGGUAACGGCUCACCAAGGCGACGAUACAUAGCCGACCUGAGAGGGUGAUCGGCCACACUGGGACUGAGACACGGCCCAGACUCCUACGGGAGGCAGCAGUAGGGAAUCUUCGGCAAUGGACGGAAGUCUGACCGAGCAACGCCGCGUGAGUGAAGAAGGUUUUCGGAUCGUAAAGCUCUGUUGUAAGAGAAGAACGAGUGUGAGAGUGGAAAGUUCACACUGUGACG
This 462-nucleotide ribosomal RNA is filed under the name Streptococcus mitis. Its description in RNAcentral is "bacterial SSU rRNA". It matches the Rfam family "Bacterial small subunit ribosomal RNA", at positions 28 to 474 of the family's 1533-position model. The record is from RNAcentral. Lineage: Bacteria; Bacillati; Bacillota; Bacilli; Lactobacillales; Streptococcaceae.